AAGAGAAUAAUUCACCGAGCAAGAAGCGAAAUACUCUGCGAGGAAAAAUAUAGUUUGAGCGGUAUUAUAGUGAGGUAGAAAAAUUAAAAUUUAUUUCUUUUGAGUGUGCAGUGGUCUUGAAGUAUUUUAGUCCGUAUUUUAGUUGGCACAAGUAAAUAAAAUAUCCGGGUCAGCACAGAAAUUGUACUUAGUUUUAUCUGACAAUUUAGUCUACUUUAAUUUCAUUGUUACCUAAGUCUUAAUUGCCUAUUAUACAAGCCUUGAUGCCUGAAGUGUUUAUUAGCAUGCAAUUUUCCACAUUGUAUCCUUUACAUUUGUUUUUUGAGCAGUUAUUUCUUGUGAAGAUUCGACUGGAUUAUGUUGUUGAAAAAGAUGUGAUUUUGUCCCCAUUCUGCAGAUUAUGAUUGUGUCUGGAGUUUAUGUAUUAAGGGUACUUAGAUGCCGUUUAGGCAGGUCCUACCCUUGCUAAAUCGAUGCCACCUUUAGUUGUCUUAGUCAAAAUCAAUGUGGAUGGAGCAGUCGAUAUUGGAGCUGCUAGGAUUGUUUUUUUCGUUUGAGACCAUGAAGGUAAUCAAUUAGCUUCACAAUCGCAGCAUUUUUCUUUCAAUAUUGAUGGUGAAAUGAUUGAAGCUUGGGCAACUUUGAAAGGAGUUACACUAGGUUAUCUCUUUUUUAAUGGCUCGCUCCUGACCUGCUUGUAGUCAAAUGUAAUUGGUAUGCAGCCUAUUUGUGUUAUAUGAUGAAUUUAAACAUAUAUAGAAAGCACGCCAUAGGAAAAAUGAUAGGAAAUCAUGGUUCCCUUUGGAGAAGAACCAAAACAGCAGAGUUCCGCCUACUCAAAACUAAGAGGAUGAAUCAAACAUUUGAAUAAGGGUUGCUAAGUCAAUAAUUUCAUCAAAUGUUGGAGAAAAGGUUUUUUAUUGGAAUAGUCCGAGACUAUACAUGUCUCGUUCUCACUGCUGUUAUCUAUUGCUUUAUCUCUGUUGAAUAUUUACUCAAGAUUUCUUUUUGUGUGUUACAGGGCCCCUCUAAUUAGUUUGCGCCUUGCCUACGGUGGCUAUAAACAAGUUUGAAUGCGUAUUUCCUUUAGGGCAUGAUUCGAAGCUUUUAAUCUUAAUGAUAUAAAGAUGAGAGGAGAGCUAGGUCUUAUUCCAAUGUGAAAUUAUUUUUCUUGGUUAUGUCAAUAUUCAAUGUAACCCGAUUUUCUUAUAGGUGAACUACAUUUUGGUUUUUCCCUCCAUAAGAUGAGCCUACUGUGAUUUAGCAAAAGUAGCAGAUGGUGACUAGGGUUGUCACUAGGUUAGGCCUCUUUACUGAGCAUAAUUUAUCUGAUGUCCUCAGAAAUAACUGCAGCUUUCUUUCAUUUUUUGCCUGCUACCACCUAUAUGCAUUGAUUCAGGUAUUUGCCAAACAUAUGUGGAAAGUGUGUUGUGUGUAUCUGUGGGUGAAUCCGCGGAGCACAAACUCACUCUAGUCAUUUCACAUGUGGUUUAAUAUAGCCUGUGCUAGUGUGAAGUAGUGUUAUGCCCUAAUCCUUGAGCUCACACUCAUCCUACAGUUGUUUCAAUUAUGGUUUCAUUUCAUAGAGUCUCUAAGUUUGAGAAGCAGUGUUAUUGGCUAAUCCUUAUCCUUAAUUGGUUGAUCAUAAGUCUCAGUAGGCUAACAAUUUUCCUUUUCUUACUUUGGGCUUUAUUUGAUGAUUAUGUCUAUGUCUAUGUAAGUAAGAAUGAGAGGAAGGGCCUUAAAUUGAGUAAGUGGUUGAAUAAGGAUCUUCUACAGAAUAAAUUGUACCUUGCUGAGUAACAUGGAUUUAUAACUUAGUUUAGAGCUAUUACAGUAACUUAGUAUAAGAGGUGGUUCACAUACAAACUAAGUGGGUCAUGUAGGCAAACAUUCAUCCUUCGCUCGAGUUAAACUUGAGAAAAAUAUAAGAGAAGGAAUAAAAAGGGCAAAGGAAAAGGAAAAGAGAAACUGGAUAUGGCCAACUGAGCUUAACUCAGUACAGUUAGGUUAUUUGUGGUUUUACCAGUAAGGUUGGGCUGAGUAGCUAAACCGUAUGUUUCACUACUUCACUUGCAGAUAAAAUUACUUGCAAAUAAUGUUACUUCAUUGGCAUGUUGAAGUUUGUUUGUGAAGCUUUGGUUUAGAACUUGACCUUUGAUUAGAUUGUAAUUUUCCAUUGCAUUCCUUCCAAGUUGUUGGUUCUCCAGAACAAUAUUUUUCUCCCUUAUUUCUUUUCUGUCUUGUUAACUCUUACGUGUAUCCGCCCAAAAGUCGAAGUACAACUAUGGUUACAUAAGCUGUGUUUAAUGUGGACUUUUCUUCUCAUUUAAUAAACACCUUUUCCAUCUGUCAGUAGAAAUGUAAUCUAACACUUCUACUUAUUUUUGUGUGAUUUUUUGGAUCUAAUAAUUUAUAUAUUGUUCUGUGUAAAACUACUCAUGUCCAAGCGAUAUGAUAAUAUUUUUGAACUUUUCUUCUCAUUUGAUAAGCACUUCUCCAUCUGUCAAUCUGAUCGUUGAAGUAGAUAUGUAUUCUAACAUUUUUUACUUAAUGUUUUCUGGUUUGAUUAUUCAGAUCUAUUGAUUUGUAUAUUAUUUCGUGUUAGAUAUAUUUAUUUCUUUGUGAUAUGAUGAUUUAUACCCUUGUGAUAUGACUUGUUAUUAUGAUAGAAGUUGACUUUGCUCUAUAUCCAGAGUCUAAUGUCCUUAAAAUGGAUAGUAAUUGAUAAGUGCAAAGGGAAAAGGAAUCUAGUGCACAUGCAUACAGGGUUGACCUUUGGUUUAGUUGAAGAAAAUAAAUAUAAUGGCAGGUGGAAACAUUUAAUUCCUAAAUAUAAAAUUAUGAAUAAGUGGAAACCAAAGAGAAGAAAGAAACUUUUAGAGGUUGUUUCAAAUGGUUGAUUUGUACCUCAGCUAUUCUUCUUCUUUCCCUUGCAAUUUAUGUUCACAAGAGUUUCUGUUAUCACAACUUCUUAAAAAGAAAAGGAGAGAUGUCUUCAGACAAAUACAUGUUUGUAAAGAAAAUUCAUCCUCUUGAAUGUCUGCAAGCCAUUGAAAGAGAUUGGGGCUUCCUCUUGUCGCCGGGUAUUGCAAUGGAAGAAAUCAAGUUCCUUAAAAGGGAAUUCAAAUUCCUCGAUAUUUUUCCCAGAUUGCAGAGCUUCAAAUAUGAAUGUAACAUGCAAGAUGUCACACAGGAAGUUCCAACUCUGUUUGAUGAUGUUAUAGUUGACCUGAACGAGAUCUACAAGUAUCCAUAUCCAAAAACAAAAUUUGAUCCCUUAAUCUCUCAAGUGAAAAACAAGAUUUGGAUAACCAAGUUGGACAUCAGAGCUAAAUAUUCUUUUCAGAAAACGUCAUUAUGGCCUUCAGCCAACAAGGACGGUGCUGCUACUUCCAAAAUUGUACUCGAAUUUGUUGAUGCAGUUGUUGAGAUUCUUGGUGAUCUAGUGCAGACUGAUGAUCCUAGUUCCCUACAUUAUGUUCCGGAACCAAAGGACCAAAUUAAAGAGAUUUUAAAGGAGUUGAAGUUACUGAGAUUUUUCGUCUACUUUGUUUCAAUUAAAUGCAUAGAGCCUCAAAGCCGACAUACUUUCUUCAGUCACGUUUUAAUAGUGGCUGGCCACGCAGCAAUCGUUGUAUGGUUGUAUUUGCCUAGCCGUGGCGAUAGAAAUGAUCAAGACUUGGCUCCAAGUGAAAUGAAUGCUAUGCUUUCUGAUCUCAUGCAAAUGAAGAUUAAGCCCAUUCAGCCAGGCAUCCGCAAAAUCUAUAUUGAUGUCCUGCAAGAUUUGAAGUCGGCAAUACAAUCAGAAAUGCAUCCCAACAUUCAAAACAAGCAUGCAGCUGACAGUGGCUUUGUUGAGACUCUUGCGCACGAUUUGGUGGAGCUACCAACUAGUAGUAAUGCUUGUCAGGUAUUUGUUUUGAAUGAUCAAAUGGCAAUCCUUCAGGAGAUACUCAGCAACUUAAGAGGCAUUCUCAUCCAUCUGCCAACAGUAAAUCUUGAUUUUUGUCUUCAAGAUAUGGACACUGUUAUUGUUGAUGCCGGAUUUCUAAUUUACUCAUUAUAUGAUAUCAAGGGGGAGAAGGAAGACACGAUGUUGGAGGAUAUCAACCGAGCACUUAACCUUGAUCUUCCGAGCAACAUUGUGCCUAUCAAGUCAAUGAUCUACCUCAUCGUUCGAAAGGCAUUUCCUAACUUGCGAAGGAUUCAUGGACUAGGCUAUGUUGAUUUUCUUCUAAAUAACCUAAAGGAGUUCCAAGGCCGUUAUGCAAAUUCACUUGCUUUCAUCAAGAACCAACUUCAAAUUAUUCAGAAGGAGCUUGAGAGCUUGCAACCUUUUCUAAAAGCUGUUGCAGAAGAGCAACACCAUAAGUUCAAGACACUUCAAGUUUGUGCUACACAAUUGAUUAGCAAAGCAUAUGAGGUGGAAUAUGUAGUUGACGCAGCUUGUAUAAGCAAAGAAAUACCUAACUGGUGUCUCAAGCUUUGGCUCCUAGAUAUCAUAGAGGAGAUAACUCGUAUCAAAGCAGAGGUAGCAGAGAUUCCAGAAAAGCAAAUGGCCGAGGUUGACUUAGUAUUACAUGAUACCAUUGAUACUUCCACUGUUCAUACAUCAUCACAAUUGGCAAGGAAUCAAAGCAUAGCUGAUGAAAUUGUGGGAUUUGGAGACGUGAUACAAGAAUUGAGAAGACGACUAAUCAAAGAACCUAAACAGCUGGAUGUUAUCUCAAUCGUAGGCAUGCCUGGUCUGGGUAAGACAACUUUGGCCUACAAACUCUAUUAUGACAAGUCAAUUAUCUCUCACUUUGAUAUUCGUGCACAAUGUUGUGUGUCUCAAGUAUAUACAUUUCGGAAUUUAUUACUAGCCAUUCUAUGUGAUGCUAUUGGCGAGGACUCUAAACAUAAAAACAAGUCUACUAAUGAAUUAGCUGAUGAGCUUCGUAGAACUUUACUACCCAAAAGAUACCUUAUCCUUGUUGAUGACGUGUGGGAAGCUAGUGCAUGGGAUGAUUUAAGGCCUUGCUUCCAUGAUUCCAAAAAUGGAAGCAGAAUCAUUCUAACAACUCGACAUUUUGAAGUUGCCAAUUAUGCUACAUCUGUUAGUAAAGCCAUUCCUCUUCGUAUGUUUAGCGAUGAUGAAAGUUGGAAUUUACUAGAAAAUAAAGUGUUUGGUGAAGAAAGCUGCCCCCUUCCCUUUGAAGAAGUUGGGAAAGAAAUAGCAAAAAAGUGUGGAGGGCUGCCUCUUUCAGUUGUUUUGAUGGCUGGUAUUCUGUCAAAGAUGGAGAAGAAAGAAGAGAGUUGGAAAGAAGUGGCUGCGACGUUAAGUUCCCACAUACACAGUGAUUCAAAAGCUAUUGUAGAACAAAGUUAUCAGGAUUUACCCUUUCAUCUUAAGCCUUGCUUCCUUUAUUUUGGAGCAUUUUUAGAGGAUAAAGUGAUUGACGUUUCAAAGUUAACAAGGUUAUGGAUAUCAGAAGCAUUUAUUUUAAGUUACGAAGGCAAGAAUUUGGAGGAUAUAGCAGCAGGUUACUUGGAGAAUCUUAUUGGAAGAAAUCUAGUGAUGAUUGCUGAGAGGGCCAGUUUAGAUGGUAAAGUUGAAGCAUGUCGGAUUCAUGAUGUAUUGCUCGAGUUCUGCAAGAUAAGAGCAACGGAAGAGAAUUUUCUACAGUGGAUAAAAUGGGAUCAGAAUGCCAAUCCUUCUUCCUGUAUUUACUCUUACAAGCAGCAUGCUCAUGGUCGCUUGGCCUUUAGUGAUGUGGGUACUCUUGAAAAAUGGAGCUCGUCUUGCUCACUUGUUGGCUCUAUACUUUUCAGAAAAGAUACCUUACUCCGUUUCACAAUUUCACGCAUAUUUCACAAUUUCAAGUUUCUGAAAGUCUUGGAUUUGGAGGGCACUGUUAAUGUUGAUUGUUUCCCAAUUGAGCUAAUUUACUUGAGGUAUUUUUCUGCAAGAUAUGUUCUGGAGUCAGUUCCAUCAUCCAUAGUCAAUCUUUGGAACUUGGAAACUCUGAUAUUAAAUGGUAGUGGAGGAAAGUUGUCAUUACCCUUUACAGUUUGGAAGAUGGUUAAACUGAGAUAUCUACAUGCCUCUCCGUACUUCGUUAUAAAUAAUGCAGAAGAAUCACUUGAGGACUCCUCAGAACUUUAUGAUUUAAAGUCGCUUUCCUUUCCAUGUUUUUCUUGUGUGGGAGAUGCAGAUUUGAUGCUGAGAAAAACACCUAAUCUUCGGGAACUGACAUGCAGAAUCAAGGGUGUUAGCAGAGAUCAGUUCCCUGUAUUGGAUUUUCCACCACGACUUGAAACGCUACACAUCCAUCCUACGCUUGCAGAAUCCCAAUGUGGAUACCCUGUAUGCAUUUCCGCAUCAAAUCUAAAGAAAUUGACAGUAACACUUUUUAGAUUGGGCCUUCAGCACUUAUCAAACAUUGCUCAGCUUCAGAACCUUCGGGUGCUAGAAUUGCUUUCUGUUAAAUUUGACGAUGGAAAAUGGGAAGUGAGCAAUGACGAGUUCACUCAGCUCAAAGUCUUGAAACUCUUGAAUGGUUACUUUAAAGAUUGGACUGUUGCCGAUGAUGCCUUUCCUAAUCUUGAACACUUGGCUUUGCGUCAAUGUUUCGAUCUUAAGGAGAUCCCAACAUGUUUCGGAGACAUCUGUUCCCUUAAGUCCAUUGAGGUACGAGAAUGCAACGAAUUUGUUGACAAGUCAGCCAGGGAUAUUUGGGAAACACAAGCUGAAGAUUAUCAGAAUACUGAUUUCGAGGUCUUUAUUCAUAAGUCCAUGGCACACAAGGAUAACAAUUCGGAUUACGAUGAUUGGUUAUGAAAAUGAUCUAUAAAGCAAGACAGAGGAGCUGUAGCCGAAACUUUAAGUUAGGCAUAACCCAGGCUACUUGUAAAGCCGAAUGGAGCAGAGGUUAUGGAUGGAAAGGACCCCGAAAUGGUGGGACCCUCUUCCUCAAUGACUGUGGAUGAGAAGGGGAUGUUCAUGUAGGAGGAGGACGAUGAGGUGGUGAAUGAGGAGGUGCCACUAAUUGGCAGAGGAGAGUGCAGGAUUUGCCGGGAGGAGGAUUCUUUGGACCUAUGUUGCUCGGACUCUCCGAAAAUGUCGCCGGGUGCAUGUCGAAUCCUCCAAAAGUAGUGUAUUUUUGGAGGAUCCGAUACAGGUGUAGCAGCAUUUUGGAGAGUUUGCACAACCUAGCUUUGGACAAGUUGGAGAGCCCAUGUGCUUGCAGAGGAAGUCUCAAGGAACUGAGAUGCGAAUUCAAGCCUCCAGCAAAGAUAUUCCAGCGUGUUCAAAGUCGUCUGUUCCCUGUUUUGGAUUUUCCAGCACGGCUUGAGAAGCUAGACGGUUUUGGUUCAGUACCUACAUACUUCGGUGCAUCAAAUCUUUAAAAUUUGACAUUAAGCUGUUGUGGACUGGCCUUUGGUGCUUAUCAGACAUUUUUCAGCUUCAGAACCUUCAGGCACUCGAACUGAGAACCGUUGAAUUUGGAAGAGUUUGGAAAGUGAGCAAUGACGACUUCCCUCAAGUCAGUCAUAAAACCAGAAUAUUUGUCCCUGAUAGAAUGAACUGUCCCUGAUGAUGCCUUCCCUAACCUUGAACGGUUGUUUCUGUUAUUGCAAAAAGCUUAAGGAGAUCCUUCUUGGUUUGACGACAUCUCUUCUCCAAAAUACAUUGACGUAGAGAGCUGCAACGAUUUUUUUUGCUCAGUCAGCCAGGGAUAUCCGAGAAAAAACAAGUUGAAGAUUAUCAAAAUACAGAUUUCAAGCUCUUCGUCAGAGAAUUAUACAAUAAAACUAUAUUCAGUCUCAUAUUUAAACUCUUUCCCUUACUUUACAGGUUUCUUUUUACUAAA
This is an RNA transcript of Nicotiana attenuata, 7859 nucleotides long. It is a transcript of the gene named late blight resistance protein R1-A-like, with no coding region annotated. The transcript is spliced from 5 exons. The record is from RefSeq and is a predicted model, not a curated record. NCBI's taxonomy places the organism in Eukaryota, Viridiplantae, Streptophyta, Magnoliopsida, Solanales, Solanaceae.